GCCUUUGUGGUGUAAUGGUCAGCACACUUGGCGCGUAUUCGAGAGGUCCGAGGUUCGAGUCCCGGCGAGAGCA
RNAcentral lists this transfer RNA (73 nucleotides) under Stegodyphus mimosarum. It matches the Rfam family "tRNA". From Rfam's summary of the family: Transfer RNA (tRNA) molecules are approximately 80 nucleotides in length. Lineage: Eukaryota; Metazoa; Arthropoda; Arachnida; Araneae; Eresidae. The record is from Rfam by way of RNAcentral.